Molecule: unclassified non-coding RNA, 148 nt
Organism: Macaca fascicularis (crab-eating macaque)
Lineage: Eukaryota; Metazoa; Chordata; Mammalia; Primates; Cercopithecidae
Rfam family: Metazoan signal recognition particle RNA
About the family: The signal recognition particle (SRP) is a universally conserved ribonucleoprotein. It is involved in the co-translational targeting of proteins to membranes.
Source: Ensembl
GCCGGGCGUGGUGAUGCACACCUGUAAUCCUAGCUACUUGGGAGGCUGAGGCAGGAGAAUUGCUUGAACCCAGGAGGCAGAGGUUGCAGUGAGCCAAGAUUGUGCCACUGCAUUCCAUCCUGGGUGACAGAGCAAAACUCCGUCUCAA